This 496-nucleotide ribosomal RNA is filed under the name uncultured bacterium. RNAcentral describes it as "partial 16S ribosomal RNA". It matches the Rfam family "Bacterial small subunit ribosomal RNA", at positions 29 to 507 of the family's 1533-position model. The record is from RNAcentral.
AUGAACGCUGGCGGCGUGCCUAAUACAUGCAAGUCGAGCGAACGGACGAGAAGCUUGCUUCUCUGAUGUUAGCGGCGGACGGGUGAGUAACACGUGGAUAACCUACCUAUAAGACUGGGAUAACUUCGGGAAACCGGAGCUAAUACCGGAUAAUAUUUUGAACCGCAUGGUUCAAAAGUGAAAGACGGUCUUGCUGUCACUUAUAGAUGGAUCCGCGCUGCAUUAGCUAGUUGGUAAGGUAACGGCUUACCAAGGCAACGAUGCAUAGCCGACCUGAGAGGGUGAUCGGCCACACUGGAACUGAGACACGGUCCAGACUCCUACGGGAGGCAGCAGUAGGGAAUCUUCCGCAAUGGGCGAAAGCCUGACGGAGCAACGCCGCGUGAGUGAUGAAGGUCUUCGGAUCGUAAAACUCUGUUAUUAGGGAAGAACAUAUGUGUAAUUAACUGUGCACAUCUUGACGGUACCUAAUCAGAAAGCCACGGCUAACUACGUG